Non-coding RNA from Myodes glareolus (Bank vole), 845 nucleotides. The record is from RefSeq and is a predicted model, not a curated record. NCBI's taxonomy places the organism in Eukaryota, Metazoa, Chordata, Mammalia, Rodentia, Cricetidae.
UCAACGACUGCCAUGUGGAAGUGUAAGCCAAGCAAACCCUUCUUCCCAACUUGCUUUGGUCAUGGUGUUUCCUCACAGCAACUGAAACCCUAAGACAGCCUCAGUCAGUCUUCUGGAAAUCCAAACUCUCCCUCUAACUUCUGUCUGCACAGGCGUUGUAUGCAGGGGCUCACAUUCAGUUAUGACUGCUCUCUUCCCGUGAUAUCUUCAGGCAACGCAGAGGUGAAAAUCCCCACAGAAAGUCUUGGGAAGACAGGAGUGGCAGCAAGUGACACAAACACUGGCCAAGGAGCUUCUGCCUUAAGUAUCCUUCACUCGUCUCUCCCCCGCUCCCCAGUCUUAAGACUUUCUACUUCCUGCCCUAGUUUCAACUAUGCCCCAUCUUUCUUGCUUGUUUCUUAUUGAGUGUCAAGUUCUCUUUCCAUACCUGUUUAGAAAAAGCACCCCAGUUGCAGGGGAAGAGCCUUGGCUCUUCGGAAGACAAGGCUCCUAUGAAUGACUCUCAGACCUUUGGGGUGCAGCCUCCAACUUGGCCCAUGUGAUGCAGGAUUUCUGCCUUGAAAAAUACCUGUGGCUGGCAAUGCAGGAUUUAGUAAGAGAAGAUGCUGAGCCACCUGCCAUCUUUCCAAGAUCCAAUGGUCUUGGAGGAGUUCAAGGCUGACACUGGCAGACACCAAACUCAGCCUGGAUGUUCAGAGGAUGAAGGGAAAGAACAGGAGGUUGAUCAACUGCCUUUCCCUGCAGCUCUCCCUGGAUCCAUUGUCUUGAAGAUGCAGUUCUUUUCAAGUCUUAAUCCACUUGUCAAGACUGCAAGCUCUGAGUAAAACACAACUUUCUAGAUUCAA